CCUGGGAAACUUAACUCAGCCAAAUAAUGCAAACAAUUGCAUCCAUCAUCAGCCACAUCAGCCUUAGGAGAUACAUCCAUAUCAUGAGAAAACACUACCUGAAAUUGGGGACCACUGGAGGAUUAAAGAACAAGGAGAUGGCUGGCUAUUUAAGAAGGAAAGGCAGAGGCUGCAGAAAUUGAGCCUAACGGCUUAUCAGAUGGGAUGGAUAAUUCUUUAAGUUUAAAAGAACUACUCAUUUUCCCCAACAUCUGUCUUUGCCAUCUUCCUAUCUAAGGAACCUUUCACUUUUUAGCUGGGGACAUAGCUUUCUGGUAUGAGAACUACACUGCUCAAACUUCCAAUCAGCUUGUAUGCACUUGGUGAAUCUUACCUACCACAAACAGAAGUCUGGAAAGUGAAAAUUUAUUUCCUUUUCACCAUGACCAGCCUUGUUCAGAACAUCUGAGAGGCACAGACCUGAGAAAGAAUCCCCAGGCUGAAGAGGUAGAAGUUGGCAGAAGUUAAAAGCAAUGUCUCCACAAUGGAGAAGUGACAUGCUAAAGGAACCUGGCAUCUAGACAUUUCCUAACCCCCAAUCCCUCCUUACAUAUGACCUGCUCUUAGAGGAGUACAGCGUGGUGGUUAGGAGUGUGGACUCGGCAGCCAGAAAUCCUGGGAUCUGUUGCUUGUUAGCUGUGGGCCUUAAGCUAAGAACUUAACCUCUCUGUGCCUCAGUUGCUCCAUCUGUUCAAAUGAAGAUAAUGAUAAUGAAGAUGAUAUCACCUGCUGUGUAGGAUUGUUAUGAAAAAUCAAGAAUUAAUAUUUGUAAAUCACUUACAGGGUCUGGCACAUAAUAAGUGCUGUGUGGGUGUUUGUUAAAUAAAAUAAUAUACAA
Molecule: long non-coding RNA, 877 nt
Filed under: Homo sapiens (human)
Lineage: Eukaryota; Metazoa; Chordata; Mammalia; Primates; Hominidae
Description: HSALNT0380555
Source: RNAcentral